This 537-nucleotide ribosomal RNA is filed under the name uncultured bacterium. RNAcentral describes it as "bacterial LSU rRNA". It matches the Rfam family "Bacterial large subunit ribosomal RNA", at positions 165 to 662 of the family's 2925-position model. The record is from RNAcentral.
CAUAGGUUUGAGGAUGGGAACCUGGGGAACUGAAACAUCUAAGUACCCAGAGGAAAAGAAAUUAUUCCCCCAGUAGUGGCGAGCGAACGGGGAAAAGCCCAAACCGCUUCUGCUUGCAGAAGCGGGGUUGUAGGACCGGCAAUACGGAAGUUACAAAAUAAUCAGUUAGCGGAAAGGUGUGGGAAAGCCUGCCAAAGAGGGUGAUAGCCCCGUAUGCGAAAACUGAUUAUCUUCCGCCGUGUUCCUGAGUACUGCCGUGCACGCUAAUACGGCAGGAAUCUAGGGAGUCCACUCUCUAAGGCUAAAUACACUUGGCGACCGAUAGUGAACUAGUACCGUGAGGGAAAGGUGAAAAGUACCCCCUCGUUAGGGGUAGUGAAUAGAACCUGAAACCAUAAGCUUACAAGCAGUUGGAGGCGUAACAGCAAGUUGAGCCCCCUAGAAAUAGGGACGUUCCUUGCUAUGCCUGACAGCGUGCCUCUUGGAGAAUGAGCCUGCGAGUUAAUCUCAGUGGCGAGGUUAAGGGAGUAACACCCG